CCUACGGGUGGCAGCAGUGAGGAAUAUUGCGCAAUGCACGAGAGUCUGAACCAGCCAAGUAGCGUGAAGGAUGACUGCCCUAUGGGUUGUAAGCUUCUUUUAUAUGGGAAUAAAAUGUUCCACGUGUGGGUUUUUGUAUGUACCAUAUGAAUAUGGAUCGGCUAACUCCGUUCCAGCAGCCGCGGUAAUACGGAGGAUCCGAGCGUUAUCCGGAUUUAUUGGGUUUAAAGGGAGCGUAGGUGGUUUGUUAAGUUAGUUGUGAAAGUUUGCGGCUCAACCGUAAAAUUGCAGUUGAAACUGGCAGUCUUGAGUACAGUAGAGGUGGGCGGAAUUCGUGGUGUAGCGGUGAAAUGCAUAGAUAUCACGCAGAACUCCGAUUGCGAAGGCAGCAUACCGGCGCUCAACUGACGCUCAUGCACGAAAGUGUGGGUAUCGAACAGGAUUAGAUACCCUUGUAGUC
Molecule: ribosomal RNA, 460 nt
Filed under: uncultured bacterium
Lineage: Bacteria
Description: partial 16S ribosomal RNA
Rfam family: Bacterial small subunit ribosomal RNA
Source: RNAcentral